UACGUAGGAUGCAAGCGUUGGCCGGAUUUAUUGGGCUUAAAGGGUGGGUAGGCGGCUUAUUAAGUUAGUGGUGAAAACGUUCGGCUUAACCGGGUACCCGCCAUUGAUACUGAUAGACUUGAGUGCGACAGAGGGUGUUGGAAUGUGUGGUGUAGCGGUGAAAUGCUUAGAUAUCACGCAGAACACCAAUUGCGAAGGCAGAUGCCUAUGUCGUAACUGACGCUGAGGCACGAAAGCGUGGGGAGCAAACAGG
This 253-nucleotide ribosomal RNA is filed under the name uncultured bacterium. Its description in RNAcentral is "partial 16S ribosomal RNA". It matches the Rfam family "Bacterial small subunit ribosomal RNA", at positions 524 to 776 of the family's 1533-position model. The record is from RNAcentral.